AACGUACGCUGGCGGCACGCCUAACACAUGCAAGUCGAACGAAGUAGCAAUACUUAGUGGCAGACGGGUGAGUAACAUGUAGGUAUCUGCCCUUUGGCCUGGAAUAACACGAGGAAACUUGUGCUAAUACCGGAUAAGUCUUUACGGAGAAAGCUUUAUGCACCAUUGGAUGAGCCUGCACUUGAUUAGUUUGUUGGUGGGGUAAUGGCCUACCAAGACUGUGAUCAAUAGCUGAUUUGAGAGGAUGAUCAGCCACAUUGGGACUGAGACACGGCCCAAACUCCUACGGGAGGCAGCAGUGGGGAAUCUUGCACAAUGGAGGAAACUCUGAUGCAGCGAUGCCGCGUGAGUGAAGAAGGCCUUUGGGUUGUAAAGCUCUUUCGUCGGGGAAGAAAAUGACUGUACCCGAAUAAGAAGGUCCGGCUAACUUCGUGCCAGCAGCCGCGGUAAUACGAAGGGACCUAGCGUAGUUCGGAAUUACUGGGCUUAAAGAGUUCGUAGGUGGUUGAAAAAGUUAGUGGUGAAAUCCCAGAGCUUAACUCUGGAACUGCCAUUAAAACUUUUCAGCUAGAGUAUGAUAGAGGAAAGCAGAAUUUCUAGUGUAGAGGUGAAAUUCGUAGAUAUUAGAAAGAAUACCAAUUGCGAAGGCAGCUUUCUGGAUCAUUACUGACACUGAGGAACGAAAGCAUGGGUAGCGAAGAGGAUUAGAUACCCUCGUAGUCCAUGCCGUAAACGAUGUGUGUUAGACGUUGGAAAUUUAUUUUCAGUGUCGCAGGGAAACCGAUAAACACACCGCCUGGGGAGUACGACCGCAAGGUUAAAACUCAAAUGAAUUGACGGGGACCCGCACAAGUAGUGGAGCAUGUGGUUUAAUUCGAAGAUACGCGCAGAACCUUACCAACACUUGACAUGUUCGUCGCGACUCUAAGAGAUUAGAGUUUUCGGUUCGGCCGGACGAAACACAGGUGCUGCAUGGCUGUCGUCAGCUCGUGUCGUGAGAUGUUGGGUUAAGUCCCGCAACGAGCGCAACCCUCACUUUUAGUUGCCAUCAUUAAGUUGGGCACUCUGAAAGAACUGCCAGUGAUAAGCUGGAGGAAGGUGGGGAUGACGUCAAGUCCUCAUGGCCCUUACGUGUUGGGCUACACACGUGCUACAAUGGUAUCUACAACAGGAAGCAAGACUGCGAAGUUAAGCAAAUCCCUAAAAGAUACCUCAGUUCGGAUUGCACUCUGCAACUCGAGCGCAUGAAGCUGGAAUUACUAGUAAUCGUGGAUCAGCGUGCCACGGUGAAUGCGUUCCCGGGUCU
RNAcentral lists this ribosomal RNA (1306 nucleotides) under uncultured bacterium. Its description in RNAcentral is "bacterial SSU rRNA". It matches the Rfam family "Bacterial small subunit ribosomal RNA", at positions 28 to 1381 of the family's 1533-position model. The record is from RNAcentral.